Molecule: long non-coding RNA, 1491 nt
Organism: Bos taurus (domestic cattle)
Lineage: Eukaryota; Metazoa; Chordata; Mammalia; Artiodactyla; Bovidae
Source: Ensembl
GAGAAGGGGCCAAUCAGCGCGCGAGGCUGCGGCGCGGCCGCGAUUGGACAGCCCCGCGGGCUGCAACCUCCUUGGCCGGUCUCGGUGCUUUGAGCCACUGCAUCCCCUAGCGGCGCUCAGGCUGCUGCAGCCGUCUGGCCCCAGAAAGCGGCCCGGGUGUGCUAGAGUCGGGCGGGAAGCGAAGUCUCAAGGUUCCACCCGCGGCUCCCCUCAGGGCAAUGUGUGCAAGGAGAGAGCGUGGGUUCUCCCUCAGGCUUUGCCACGGACGGUACUGACAGUUUGAUUUGGGGUUCAAUUGGAAGGCAUUAUUCCCUCUUCGCUUCUCUACCCCACCCCGUGACAAUUCCCUACAAAUACACCUAAAAAAAAGUCAACAUAGAAGAGACCAUCCCUUAAAGUGCUAGAGGAUUCCUUCCUUGAGGUGAAAGAAAACCACCCAUAUUCAACCUUAACUCGGGCCAGUCAAGCUGCCAGCCUCUCCUGCUCACCGCGCUCUCCAAACCUUUUAAUUAUUUAGCUUCUGUCUAACAUCCACCGGAAACCGCUCCAUAAACAAGGACAACGGACUCAUACACAUUGUUGCUAAAAGUCCCGAGAUUCAGCUUAAGGAUGGCUGCAGAGGCGGAAAAAAAGAAAAGAAAAGGGCAUCUUGGCGCGUUGAUCUAGGACCCGCCGACACUAGCCGGACCCCAGUUCAAAGCUACGCGGAAAAUGCCAAACGGAGCUCUUUGGUCCUCUGCGCCAAGACCUGAAAGUCCAGGAAAUAAAAGGGACCCAUCCUCGGAAAGAGACGCUGCUGACGCCAGGACUUGAAAACGUUAACUUCAGAGGCUAAAGCCGAUUUUAAAAGACAAAGAGAAAAUAUCCCUGAGAAGGAGGCCUUCCGGUGUAGUGGCGCCUCUGAUAAUGCUCAAACUUUGGGGGGAGGUAUUAUUCAUUUUAAUUAAAUCACGAGCACCAAGUCUGGCUGCACUGACCUGAAGAGCCACCCCCAACCCUUGGAAAAAUAAAAGAUCUCGAAGCCCCUUCUUGGUCUGGGUGGUUUGGGGCUGGCAGAGAGGAGUGGGGGCCUGCGGCUGGGUGCCCAGUGUAAUGGAGCCAGCCUGUAGGGGGUAUUUAACAUUUAAUUCCCAGCCGGUCCGCCCCUGUUCCCGGACUGACAGUGGGUAAUUGGGAAAGAGGACGUUGCUCUUUUGAUGGCCCGCGCCGGCCAGUCUCGCCGACGCCACACUGGGUUUGACGUCACGGGCCCAACCCCAGAGCCCUGAGUACAGAGCUGGGGGGAGGGAAAAGGAGAGGAGGGGUCUACCGAGCGGGGAGGGCCGAGGUCGGCCCCGGGACCCACGCGGAAGGAAGGGGGGAAGGGAGCAAGGCGGGAGAGAGGCUGCGGCGCGUGGCCUGAGGCGGAGAGCCGGGCUGCGGGAGUCUAGGCCAGGCCCGGCGCCUGCCUGACCUGCCUCGCGGGCAAAUGCAGGCCGGGCUUCCUCCUCU